UCAAGUUUAAUUUUUCAUUCAAAAUCUUCUGUUUGCACUCGUGAAUUUUGUAGGCAUCUUCGCACUUGUUUGCGCUGCGUAGUGAAUGACAAGCGUGCUGAGACAACCAGCGAAAGUUCGACCGAUCAGGAAGGUAGUCGCGCACAGACUAAAUUAUCUCAUUACGCUCGCAUCAAGACUAUGCCGGCAUUUGCAAUGAAACGAGAACAAAAAGAAGCAAGAUAAAUAAGAAGAACGCGCAAUACACAACUAGGAUAACGGGAUCUCUCUUUUUCGGCUAAAGUGCGCAAUUGAUUUUCAGCGAACAAGCCUAGCACAAAUACGGCACUCAUUUAAACGAUAGAUAAUUAUAUUUACAUAUGUAUAUACAUAUGCAUAUUCUUAAGCGAUGAACAGAGGGUAGUGCAUUUUUGAAAUUUAGCACUUUUAAAACUUGGUAAUUUACUAAGGUGCUUAUGUGUAUGUAACUCGACCGAUCAGGAAGGCAGUCGCGCACAGACUAAAUUAUCUCAUUACGCUCGCAUCAAGACUAUGCCGGCAUUUACAAUGAAACGAAAACAAAAAGAAGCACGAUAAAUAAGAAGAACGCGCAAUACACAAAUAGGAUAACGGGAUCGCCUCUUUUCGGCUGAAGUGCGCAAAUUUAUUUUCAUCGAACAAGCUCAGCACACUCAUUUUAUUGGAAAUUUAACAGACGAAUUAAGCAUGAAAAGAAAAAUAAGAAGAACGAGCAAUACACAACUAGGAUAACGGGAUCUCUCUUUUUUGGCUGAAGUGCGCAAUUGAUUUUCAGCGAACAAGCCUAGCACAAAUACGGCACUCAUUUUAACAUAUAUACAUAUGUAUAUUCUGAAGCGAUGAACAAGGGGUAGUGAUUAUUUGAAAUUUAGCACUUUCAAAACUUGGUAAUUUACUAAACUGAGAUAAAAACGACUUAAGCUACACAUGCUUAUUUAUGCGUAUGUAACUCCACCGAUCAAGAAGGCAGACGAUCACAGACUAAAUUGCCCUUUCUCUCUCGCGUACGCUUUGUCGAAACUAAGAUAACGGGAUCAAAAGCGUUACGACCAAUGGCGUGAGCGCAACAUACAGAUAAAAACACUACUCUCUGUUCUAGCUGAAGCCAGGAGUGAAAACGUCAACGCUAAUGAAAUGUUAACAGUGGAAGAGUGAAUAAUCAACCAAAGACAAAUACAUACAUAUGUAAACGGUGUUUGCAAAUACG
RNAcentral lists this small RNA (1225 nucleotides) under Drosophila virilis. Its description in RNAcentral is "GJ26881". Lineage: Eukaryota; Metazoa; Arthropoda; Insecta; Diptera; Drosophilidae. The record is from RNAcentral.